Molecule: ribosomal RNA, 504 nt
Filed under: uncultured bacterium
Lineage: Bacteria
Description: partial 16S ribosomal RNA
Rfam family: Bacterial small subunit ribosomal RNA
Source: RNAcentral
AUUGAACGCUGGCGGCAGGCCUAACACAUGCAAGUCGAACGGUAGCACAGAGAGCUUGCUCUCGGGUGACGAGUGGCGGACGGGUGAGUAACGUCUGGGAAACUGCCCGAUGGAGGGGGAUAACUACUGGAAACGGUAGCUAAUACCGCAUAACGUCGCAAGACCAAAGUGGGGGACCUUCGGGCCUCACACCAUCGGAUGUGCCCAGAUGGGAUUAGCUAGUAGGUGGGGUAAUGGCUCACCUAGGCGACGAUCCCUAGCUGGUCUGAGAGGAUGACCAGCCACACUGGAACUGAGACACGGUCCAGACUCCUACGGGAGGCAGCAGUGGGGAAUAUUGCACAAUGGGCGCAGGCCUGAUGCAGCCAUGCCGCGUGUAUGAAGAAGGCCUUCGGGUUGUAAAGUACUUUCAGCAGGGAGGAAGGCGGUGAAGUUAAUAACUUCACCGAUUGACGUUACCCGCAGAGGUAGCACCGGCUAACUCCGUGCCAGCCGCCGCGGUAA